This 440-nucleotide ribosomal RNA is filed under the name uncultured bacterium. RNAcentral's name for it is "partial 16S ribosomal RNA". It matches the Rfam family "Bacterial small subunit ribosomal RNA", at positions 338 to 795 of the family's 1533-position model. The record is from RNAcentral.
CCUACGGGAGGCAGCAGUGGGGAAUAUUGGGCAAUGGGCGCAAGCCUGACCCAGCAACGCCGCGUGAAGGAUGAAGGUUUUCGGAUUGUAAACUUCUGUCGCGAGGGACGAAGAAUGACGGUACCUCGUAAGAAAGCCCCGGCUAACUACGUGCCAGCAGCCGCGGUAAUACGUAGGGAGCGAGCGUUGUCCGGAAUUACUGGGUGUAAAGGGAGCGUAGGCGGGGAUGCAAGUUGGGUGUCAAAACUACCGGCUCAACUGGUAGUCGCACUCAAAACUGCAGCUCUUGAGUGAAGUAGAGGCAGGCGGAAUUCCUAGUGUAGCGGUGAAAUGCGUAGAUAUUAGGAGGAACACCAGUGGCGAAGGCGGCCUGCUGGGCUUUUACUGACGCUGAGGCUCGAAAGUGUGGGGAGCAAACAGGAUUAGAUACCCCUGUAGUC